UCUAUUCCUUAGAAAAAAUAUUAUGACAUUUUUUUUAUUAUGUUUUCAUUUACCAAAACUUCUUCAUGUGGAUGGAUAAAGAUCACAAUAAAUUUAAAAUAAAAUAUAUAAAUUAUACUCUAGGAGACCAGAAGAGACUAGGGAUAUAGAUUAAAAGCAAGAUUAACAUAGCUUCAAUUGAAAUUGGAAGCUUUAUAUUUUUAC
This 204-nucleotide long non-coding RNA is filed under the name Vitis vinifera (wine grape). RNAcentral's name for it is "long non-coding RNA (VVIN_LNC007440)". The record is from RNAcentral. Lineage: Eukaryota; Viridiplantae; Streptophyta; Magnoliopsida; Vitales; Vitaceae.